GACGAACGCUGGCGGCGUGCUUAACACAUGCAAGUCGAACGGAAAGGCCCUGCUUUUGUGGGGUGCUCGAGUGGCGAACGGGUGAGUAACACGUGAGGAACAUGCCCUUGACUGUGGGAUAACUUCAGGAAACUGGGGCUAAUAUCGGAUAGGAGCUCCUGCUGCAUGGUGGGGGUUGGAAAGUUUCGGCGGUUGGGGAUGGACUCGCGGCUUAUCAGCUUGAUGGUGGGGUAGUGGAUUACCACGGCUUUGACGGGUAGGAUGCCUGAGAGGGUGACCGGGCACCUUGGGACUGAGAUACGGCGCAGAAUCCAACGGGACGCAGCAGUGGGGAACCUUGCACAGUGGGCGGACGCCUGAUACAGCAAUGCCGCGUGCGGGAUGCCGUGCUUCGGGUUGUAAACCGCUUUCGCCUGUGCCGAAGCGUGAGUGACGGUACUGGGUCAAGAAGCCCCGGCUAACUACGUG
Molecule: ribosomal RNA, 468 nt
Filed under: uncultured bacterium
Lineage: Bacteria
Description: partial 16S ribosomal RNA
Rfam family: Bacterial small subunit ribosomal RNA
Source: RNAcentral